Molecule: ribosomal RNA, 383 nt
Filed under: uncultured bacterium
Lineage: Bacteria
Description: bacterial SSU rRNA
Rfam family: Bacterial small subunit ribosomal RNA
Source: RNAcentral
GAUGAACGCUAGCGAUAGGCCUAACACAUGCAAGUCGAGGGGCAUCACAUGAAGUAGCAAUACGGAUGGUGGCGACCGGCGCACGGGUGAGUAACACGUAUGCAACCUGCCUUCAACAAGGGGAUAACCCGUUGAAAGACGGACUAAUACCCUAUAACACAGGGGUCCCGCAUGGGAAUAUUUGUUAAAGGACAACCGGUUGAAGAUGGGCAUGCGUUCCAUUAGCUAGUUGGCGGGGUAACGGCCCACCAAGGCAACGAUGGAUAGGGGAACUGAGAGGUUUAUCCCCCACACUGGUACUGAGACACGGACCAGACUCCUACGGGAGCAGCAGUGAGGAAUAUUGGUCAAUGGACGCAAGUCUGAACCAGCCACGUCGCGUG